AUACGUAGGUGGCAAGCGUUGUCCGGAAUUAUUGGGCGUAAAGGAUGCGUAGGCGGCCUUUUAAGUGGGAUGUGAAAUCCCCGGGCUCAACCCGGGAACUGCAUUCCAAACUGGGUAUCUAGAGUGCAGGAGAGGAAAGCGGAAUUCCUAGUGUAGCGGUGAAAUGCGUAGAUAUUAGGAGGAACACCAGUGGCGAAGGCGGCUUUCUGGACUGUAACUGACACUGAGGCAUGAAAGCGUGGGUAGCAAACAGGAUUAGAUACCCUGGUAGUCCACGCCGUAAACGAUGGGUACUAGGUGUAGGAGGUAUCGACCCCUUCUGUGCCGUCGUUAACACAAUAAGUACCCCGCCUGGGGAGUACGGUCGCAAGACUAAAACUCAAAGGAAUUGACGGG
This 396-nucleotide ribosomal RNA is filed under the name uncultured bacterium. RNAcentral describes it as "partial 16S ribosomal RNA". It matches the Rfam family "Bacterial small subunit ribosomal RNA", at positions 523 to 917 of the family's 1533-position model. The record is from RNAcentral.